UGAAUUUUAAAGGGCCGCGGUAUUUCUGACCGUGCGAAGGUAGCAUAAUCAUUAGUCUUUUAAUUUGAGGCUCGUAUGAAUGGUCGGACGAGGGAUAAACUGUUUCAGGUGAAAAACUCGAAUUUAACUUUUAAGUGAAAAGGCUUAAAUAUUUCAAAAAGACGAUAAGACCCUAUAAAUCUUAACAUUAAAUUUCAUGUAAUUCUAGCUUAUUAGUGUAAAGAAACCCAUGGUAAAAAUGUUAUGUUGGGGCAACAAAGAUAUAAAAAAAUUAACUGUUUUAUCAUUUAAACAAAAAUCAUUGAAUUUCUAGAUCCUUUUUUAAGAUUUAAAGAUCAAGUUACUUUAGGGAUAACAGCGUCAUUCUUUUUGAGAGUCCCCAUCGAAAAAAGAGUUUGCGACCUCGAUGUUGAAUUAGAAGAUCU
RNAcentral lists this ribosomal RNA (425 nucleotides) under Calcinus obscurus. RNAcentral describes it as "partial 16S ribosomal RNA". It matches the Rfam family "Archaeal large subunit ribosomal RNA", at positions 1994 to 2616 of the family's 2987-position model. Lineage: Eukaryota; Metazoa; Arthropoda; Malacostraca; Decapoda; Diogenidae. The record is from RNAcentral.